RNAcentral lists this unclassified non-coding RNA (345 nucleotides) under soil metagenome. RNAcentral describes it as "partial contains 5.8S ribosomal RNA, internal transcribed spacer 2, and large subunit ribosomal RNA". The stretch from base 1 to 119 matches the Rfam family "5.8S ribosomal RNA", at positions 35 to 154 of the family's 154-position model. The record is from RNAcentral.
GAUGAAGAACGUAGCGAAAUGCGAUACGUAAUGUGAAUUGCAAAUUCAGUGAAUCAUCGAGUCUUUGAACGCACAUUGCGCCCCCUGGUAUUCCGGGGGGCAUGCCUGUCCGAGCGUCAUUGCUGCCCUCAAGCACGGCUGGUGUGUUGGGCCCCGUCCUCCGAUCCCGGGGGACGGGCCCGAAAGGCAGCGGCGGCACCGCGUCCGGUCCUCGAGCGUAUGGGGCUUUGUCACCCGCUCUGUAGGCCCGGCCGGCGCUUGCCGAUCAACCCAAAUUUUUAUCCAGGUUGACCUCGGAUCAGGUAGGGAUACCCGCUGAACUUAAGCAUAUCAAUAAGCGGAGGA